AAUUGUGUUUUGUAUCUGCUUUUCAUUUUCAGCACCUUAAUUGAAUAAAUGUGAUUUGAUUUAUGCAUAAAAUUGUAUUUUAGUAUGUUAUGCACCACUGAGUCAUAGAACUCAGCGAUAGCUUUUUAUUGCUGCCGCAGGUAAAGAAGUAAAUAAGGCAGCAGAGUAGGUUGCUUAGAACUGAAGUGACCAGCAUUUUAAAUUUUU
This 207-nucleotide unclassified non-coding RNA is filed under the name Hevea brasiliensis (rubber tree). The record is from RNAcentral. Lineage: Eukaryota; Viridiplantae; Streptophyta; Magnoliopsida; Malpighiales; Euphorbiaceae.